GACGAACGCUGGCGGCGUGCUUAACACAUGCAAGUCGAACGAGGCUCCUUCUUCGGUUGGGGGUUCUAGUGGCGAACGGGUGAGUAACACGUGGGCAACCUGCCCCUGGCUCUGGGAUAACUCCAAGAAAUUGGGGCUAAUACCGGAUAUGACCGCUGAUCGCAUGGUCUGGUGGUGGAAAGAUUUAUCGGCUGGGGAUGGGCCCGCGGCCUAUCAGCUUGUUGGUGGGGUAGUGGCCACCAAGGCGACGACGGGUAGCCGGCCUGAGAGGGUGACCGGCCACACUGGGACUGAGACACGGCCCAGACUCCUACGGGAGGCAGCAGUGGGGAAUAUUGCGCAAUGGCGAAAGCCUGACGCAGCGACGCCGCGUGGGGAUGACGGCC
This 386-nucleotide ribosomal RNA is filed under the name uncultured bacterium. RNAcentral's name for it is "bacterial SSU rRNA". It matches the Rfam family "Bacterial small subunit ribosomal RNA", at positions 28 to 416 of the family's 1533-position model. The record is from RNAcentral.